AAUGCCCUCCUUCCCUCUGGAAGGGGCCCCUGUUUCAUGCUAAAUCAUAGGCUGUAUCCAGGAGUUUUCUGGGAUGCUGCUGGCUGGUCUGAGCCAAAACCAUACCAAGGGCUGUGGUGGCAAUGUGGACAGUGGAGUUCCAGUUAUUGGGAACGCCCCCUGUGCUUAAGUCACUAGCCAGAAAGAAGAGGCUACAUCUGCUUUUCAGCACUCAGAAGCUUGAGGCCAAAUGCCGGUUCAUGCAUCAGUCCUGGCAUAGAGACCUUAUGCCAUGAUGCCAACUUCUCCUCGGGAUGUCAAUUUCAAAACAUGACCCAUGCAAAAAUGGGGGGAGAGAGAUCCUUAUUACUACUCUGAAUGCAACACGUUGUCUCAAAACCAUCUAUAGAGCUGCAGGCCCAGAGAUGUUCCCCUACCACAGAGGUUUACUUGUGUCUCCAGGACAUCAGCUUGCAUCUAAGCCCUGGACAAAUUCUAGUGUCCCAGCUAAAGGAGCAGAGCAAGACAAUCCAAAGGAAGCAGGAGAAGGUGAACGUGAGGACAGAAUAGCAAGCUGGUGGGUCUACUGAAGCCUUAACAAGUCUCUUUGCAGGAAAAAGUAUUCCUUCUGGCACCUUAUUUCUGCACCCCAAAAAGUGACUUCAUUCCUGUGAAACAAUGGAGAGUCUCCAAAAGAGAGGAAGAGGCAGAAAGUGAAGCAAUGAAGUAAAAAAAGUGUGAAAACAUCAGGAAGAGGAGGAAGGAGUCCUGAAGAUGGAUCAUGGAGGAAAGGGUGAAGGAGGGGAAAAGUGACAGGAAAGAUCAAGAAAAGAAGGGGAAAAGGGUCCUGGUGGCGAAUGCGGCUGCCUCCCCUGCAGAGAGGCUGAGCUUGGAGGGAGCAAGAAGCUCGGAUGCACCGGGCACCUGCAGGAGAAGGACUCAUCGCUCCGUGCUGGUACCGUUGUCGGCAGUGCUCUCGCCGACUGCAAGACUGGUGGAAGCAUCAAAGGGGGAGGAGGAGGGAGAAGGAAAGAUUGAUCUUGUGGGUGGAAAUUCAGGACUGCAAAGGUCAAACAGAAAGGACAAGGAUCCCCAGUAGCCAGCAUAGCUCAGCCACACACUGAUCUCAUCGUCAUUUUUGUGCCCUUGGAAUGUGUGCCUAAUGAUGAUCAAUGAAAAUAGAAGCCCUGUUGCAGCUGAGACUCAUGAGGUCCUGCUCACAGCUGGCACACGGAGGCAUGGCUGUAAAAAGAAGAUGCUGGGCAUUAGGACUGAUAGUCCCACCAGAUUCCUCCUCACCUUGGAAAACCCUUGUCUCCUCCCAGCAGGGGAGAUGGGCCUGCCUGUCCUGGUGUGGAUAGUGGUGUGCCAGCCAGAUGCUCUGCGAGCAGCACAUGUUUCUCCAUUUAUCUUACCUUGUCGUGGAAGCCAGGCUUACCCACCACACUCAGCACUGGCUCAGGCAGCAGAAGGGAGGAUGAGUAGGGCCAGGAAAGGGACUCAAAGUUAGUGCCUUGUUCUCAGCUCAGCAGUCUCUGAUUCAGCUAUGACACCGCUCUCCAGACAGAAGCCCUGCUCCUUGGUGGCACAUAUUUUCUGGAACAUGAUUUUUUGCAAAAAUCUAGGAUUGCUGUACAGUUCUGAAGAUGUGCCUUUCCCAGCUGAUAAGAAACAUCUUACAGCAUCUGAAGGUCUGAUAAAGCCACAACACAAGGCUUCUCUUUAGUCCUUUGACCCUUGUGUUCCCUGCCUCCAAAAUGGGUUGCAACUGAUUCUUUUCCAUAAGACUACUCUUCUCAGUGAGCUGCCAUCAUUGCAUCAUGUUGAUCCCUUUUCCUUUUGUUGCCUAUUUUACUUUUCUUUGUUUUUAUCCUUCUCCUGUCUUGUCUUCUAUUCAUUUCUCAGCAUCCUUUAAGUAUCAUCAUAAAAAUCUGGGGCUGAACUUCGUGAAGGGUUCUUUCCUUCCUAGUGGACAAUUUCAUUCAUUUUCCUCAUGUUCAGAUGAAAAUUCAGGAACUGGAAUUCUCCUCACUAUCAAAGGUGCCCAAACAGGUUAAACUAAACUCCUGUCUAGUGAAUUCCUGUUCACCAUGGUUUACCAUGUAAAGUUGAGCCCAAAAAUUGAAAAGAUUUUCUAGCAAAAGGAAAAUCUUAACAUUUCAGAAUGAAUCUCCACUUUCCACUUUAAACAGUGAAGUUAAAAUAUUUUACUUCAACCUUACUCAGUAAGAAUUUAAUAUGGUGUCACAGUGGCAAGUCUAGUUCUUGGGAUCAUCAUCUUAGGAUUCAUCUCUAUGCAAGACCACCUUCCCAGUGGAGAACAGACUUACACGUUUUCAAAUCUCAGCUUCCAUAAGGUCCUGCAACAGCAUUUAAGGAACAACACUGCUUUUUGCCUCCAUUUCCAAAAAAGUUUAUUUAGAGAAAAUCCUAGGGUUCAGUUCAAGGAUAAUAUAAACAAUUCCAAUGGGUGUUUUUUGACCAAAUAUUAUUAAGACCUUUGAAAACCUUUUGUAUUCAAUACUAGAAUUUUGUUGGGUAUAGAGUUCUGUUCCUUAAAGCUGGUAUUUUUGUGAAUUUUCCUCCCUUUCUUCCUCUCUUUUUCUCUUUCUGGACUGCUUGUUCUGACAUACAGCUAACCAAAGUGAAGUGUCUUUCUUUGAGAGAAUUCUCAUGCUUGUUAUUUAUCUUCACUCCCAUGCCUUUUAGCACCCUUGUUUCUCUCCAGAUAAUGUGAACCUCAAGGAAAGCAGAGAGAUGGAAGCAAGAGAGGCACGUGGGAGGACUAAUCCCAGAGGAUACUAUGAUCUGCUGAGUUUUCAGUUUGAAGUUCUGGAGCUGAAGGCUUGCAUUCCCUGGUGGACUAGAAAUAGCUGCAGAUAUGAAGCUUGACAUUAAUGCACUGUGGUUUAAAUCUUUGUAUGCUCACAAACCAGGAGUCAUCGUAGUUACAUGGCACAAUGAAAUGUGCAGGCCAAAACAAAUAAAUGCUCUUAGUCUGGAAAGGGAAUAGAAGCAUUUCAAAUCAUGCCUUUGAAGAAUAGUUCUUCCUGGUGCUUAUUUGAUUUUGUUAUACAUAUACACAGUAUUCAAGCUAAAUGCCUCUGCUAGCUCAAUUACUACAGUUUACUUACCAAGGCUCUGUUAAAUGCUUUCAAGCACAAGUCCCUUCUGUACUAUUAAAGAAGCUUUCCAUUUCUGCGAUACUGUAUUAAGCUUCACACUUCCACUCCCUAGUGGACUUUGUCUUGUAACUGGAUCCUAAUACAUCCUAUUAUAUGAACCUGAAGGACUGAGAAGUGCUGUGCUACAGAAAGACAUUUAGGAUCUGCUCUCCUAAAUCUCUCAAAGAAGAGAAUUUCAUGCCUUGCAUCAUUUUGCAAAUUUUCAAAAGUAUGCCAGAAGCCUGGCUAUUUUACCUAAGACCACAUUUUGCUUGUGUUCAUUGGAUUUCGGUUAAAAUGGUGACUGGGAUGAGGAGAAACACAGCCCGGCUCCUCUCAGGAGGCUCUCUGACCCAAUUACUGUGCAAGCUCUUGAACCUGUAGUCUCCAAGCGAUACCACAGGCAGCCAAGUGGGCAGCAAGUUGUAGCAGUGAGGGAAUAUCAUUAUUGACAGCAGUAGGAAACAGGAACUCCGAAUUCUUCUGCUGAGCCUGAGACAGAGAGCCCUCCCAAAAUACCCAUGGUGAGGUCUCCCUUGUGUGCAGAGGAAUGAAACUAUAUCCCCAACUGCCCAGCAAAUCUCUGCUGAAUUUCAUCUAGUGCCACAAAACCUGCUUCUCUGUUGGCUGGUGUCUCAGAAUGUUAGCUGUUUGCAAACAUGCUGCUACCCAUGUGUUUACUUGUGAUUAUCCCAAAGGCAUAUUCGCAUAUUCCACAGGCACUUCAUGUUUUAGGUUAAAAAGAAAAAUCAUAUGGAAAUUUAAGCAGGAAAAGAUACACUGUGCUGUGUUUAAAAACAAGGACUGGGCUGUGAUAUGACUUUAAUGACUAAUCACAACAGAGGAAAACCAAUAGACAUUAUAGGUGGAUUGCUCAACCCGUGCUUCCUAAAAUAAUAAUAAUUAAAAACAAAGAAAAAAGUUUUUCUAGGUGGGGACCCUCAAUAUUUGCUGAAGCCUGGCCCACCUCCUGUUUGAGAAGCUGCCAUGCAGGCACCUCCCCUUCCAUUCAGAACCAGGAAGAAUGUGUUUCUUCUCCUUGGCAAAUUAAUAAUAUCCCUGUGACAGCUCCAAUGAUCGCUUACACGGAGACGUCGUAUGCUGAGGGUAUUUGGUGUAUUGUUAACAUCCUUAAAUGUGAUUUAGCAUCUUGAAAUGAAGAGAAGCUGGAAUUACAGGACCAUCAGAUCUGCAUCACCUGUGUUUAACAUCUGUGAGCUCAGAAAUGGAGGGAGGAAAGAGAUUUUCAGAGACUGCCACUGCUAAGGAUCUGCCACAAGACUAAUGAGAGGCUGGGGCAGGACUGCUUGGAUGAAGUCUCUCUUUUCUGCAAGCAACUGAGUCCUACCUGUCGGUGCAGAGGUCCAGGGACAAAACAGAAAUCUUCUUGCAGAGUCCAGGCAGACAGCUGUGAGUUAGACCAGAAAGUCAUCCGCUCCACCUGGGGACAAGCAGAAAAGGGAGGAGGCACAACUACCCCACUGCUUUCAUGCAGCAAAUGAAGCCUGUAAGCAUCAGAAAGAGUAUUAUUAAAACUGCUCCAUCACUGGCUGUAAUGGGAGCGUCUGUAUUUUCUCCCUCGCCCGUAUCCCUGACAUGACAUAAUGCCUGCCCUCACCAAGACGCUAUAACACCGAGGUCCAAGGCUUUGAGGGGAAGCUUGCCAAGCCAACGUGCCCUAGUGCCUACCAGAGGUGCCACAACCUAAGGCUCUGCCUAUCCUUGUGGGAUCCGAGUUCUUCCAUUUCGAAUGCGUGACACCUAAAUACAAGACAUAAAUCAAUGUGGGCUGCAGGGCCCUCAACACUGCAGGAGACCACACACACAUUCCUAAAACUAGCAGCAGACAGAAGACGCUCAACCAUUUGCUGACCCUAAGACCUAAAGGAUCUUCAGCUGUCGAAAGCUCACGGUUUGGUUGCAGGUGUCACACCUGUCUGCUGAAUAAGCUCAGAUUUUCAACUUUCAGUGUCAUUUCAAAUUUCAGAAAAUAAGCGUGGAAAACAGCCUGAUGACAGCUUUGUGACAUCCACCCCUCUACCUCCGAGUGCCUUUUAUCCGACGGGAAAACAAAACAGUUAAGGAAGACUGGAAAAAUUAAUAUACAUGUUCGCCCUUUCUCCUCCAUCCUCUUCUCAACUACCUAUGUUUAUGAUUCAUUUAGGGCUUAAUCACAGACUGUUUUCUUGCCCUGUGUUGCAUGUGAGCCUUGUAUGUAAAUACAAGGAUGUGUAGUGGAUGGGAUAGGAGUGCUGACAGUGUGGGGCACAGGAAGGAAAAGUCUAUUGUAUGAAGACUGGAGGAGAUGCACAGCACUCACUCACCUCUGCUACAAACCCACCCAACACCUCAGGCAGAGCCACUGCUUUAGGGUGAGGAAGAGGCCAUGAUCCUUCAAUACACUUCAGUGCAUCUUUUGACAUUGCUUCGGCAAAAACAUGAGAAAUCAGUUGAACAAGGUCUGCACAUAUAGAUGAAACUUAGAUUCAUCUCACAAACUCCAUUCAUCUCCUACCUGGUUCCUGCAGGAUGCUGAAGCUCAGACAGCAGCCCCAUUAAAAUAAGGUUGGGUGCCUGUUACAUUAUAAGCAGCCUUGAUUAGUGACAAUGGUAUUUUUGUAUCAUCAGCAGCAAGUUCAAGGCAACUGCUGUUCACGUUAAAGUGAAUACAGAUUUGCAGCGGUGUUCACAGGCAGAGAAAGCCCACUGCUGCCUGUGCUUAAUUACAUUGUAUGAUGUCUUGUUCUUCAAGUCAUUUUGGAGAGUCCAGAACUAUUGAUUUCAUAAAUGUUACAUAAAUCUGACUGCCAUUGCUGCUAUUAGAUUUCACUGGCUGGUUCACUGUUGGACCUUGAGAUCUGUCUCUUCCCAGGUGCUGGUACAGGAAUAUAUGGGACUUUGAUGUAGUUUUGUAUGGCCAGCAGGUCAUCUUUAGGCUCAGGCUAGAGUCUGCAAGACAAUUAGGAUGGACAAGCGUAGCUACUCUCAGCACACCCAGAAGAAAACGAAGAGUCAAAACAAAGUCAAAACAAAGAGGGAUUAUGUUGUCUGAAAGAUGCUUGACUGAUUGAAGAGGUGCCCUGAAUUUCAUCAGAAGACUCAGCUGAAUAAACCAGGACAGCCAGCUGCCCCGUGCUUUGGGUGGCAGUCUACUGCAUUUCUGUAGAGUUAUUGUGACUGUGGUAUGGCAUUGUUACAUGUGCAGCUGACACGUGCAGAUUAGUCUAUGUAUGCACAGAAGGACCAGUGUGCAAUGGGUGGGACCUACUGCUUUUGAGUCUGACAGUAUUUUUUCUCUUGGCAAACGUGGUCACUGGCAAUCCUGAUCGGUUAGCAAAGCAGUUCUGCAAAAGGGAUGAGAAAAAGAGAAUGUGAAAUAUUAUUUUAAGCUGGUUCAUGAAGACUGAUAAAAAGGAAAGCUGUCUGUUUUAAUAUACUCUAUGUUCCACCAGUCACACCAACAUGUUAGAUGUAAGCCUGAGCUCCAGGGUCAACAGUAGUGUAGGACCUCCAUCAUCAUCUGCUGGUGUUUGCUCUUGCAAAAUCAGUGGCUAUGUACAGAUUUAUAACAAGAAAAGUACUGUGGGCUUUUUGAGCUCUGCUUCUGGUUUUAAGCACUUUUUUUGAUGAUUCUAAAGCUUUUCCUCAUAGCCCUCUGAGCUAAGAAACCUUCAAUUUUUUCAUAUGUGUCUGCUGUGGGCAAAACAGUCUCAGUUCAGGGAAUUUCACUGAAUUUGAUUUAUUUCCAAUUAACAUAAACCUUUAUUUACUGAUUUGUGUGUUGGAAAACAAAGAAGACUUAAAUAAUUAAACACUGAGGGAAGUCCCUUUCCUCCCUCUUCCCCAGACUCAGCUUCAGUCCAAUACUUCUCUCCCACCAGCUCUCCCCCACCCUGUUUUUACAGGAGGCUGGGUCAGUACGUGAUGGUUUCUUGCUGCCAUUCCUGGUUUCUUGCUCUUUUCUUCCCCUUCUCCUUCUUCCUCACUCAUUCCCUGCUCCAGCCUGGGUCCUCUGUGUGUCAGGGUCCCUUGGGGUGUCCCUGCUCCAGUGUUGGUCCCCCACAGUCACAGUUCCCCUGAGGUACUCCCAGCACGGAGCACCUCCCUCCAGGACCUGUCCCCAGCCCUGUCUCCAACACUGCCCCCUUCCACAUGUCCCCUGCUGUGUCUGCUGCUCCCCUUUGUCUCCUUUUGUGCAUCCUCAUACCUCAUAUCUCCUUGUAUCUCAUAUCUCCUCAUAUCUCCUAUCUCCUCAUAACCUCAUAUCUCACAUCUCCUCCUGUGCAUAUGCCACCCCACCUCCCAGACCCCUGCCAGAGAUGCCCUUGGCACUGCCCUUUUACAGGAACUGGAGAAGAGCCUCCUGCAUUCAGGUGAUCCUUGUGGGCAGGACUUUGGGAGGAGAAGAAAUCUCACUUUACAUGGUGCAAGGCCUAGGGUAAAUUCACAUAAGCUAGAGCAAGGAGCUCCAUUCCUGGUGAAAGAGGAGGGAAUUUCCACCUUGUAAAAUGUCUCAUCCAUUUGCUCCCUAAAAAGAAGUCAAAGAUGCAAAGUUGCAUUUUUUUUUUGUUGUUGUUAUUCUGGAGAAAUAUAAUGGGAAGAGUGUUAAGACAAAAGUCACCAGGAGCCCAGGUCUGCUCCUAGCUGUGCUACUGGCUUGCUAGAUCCAGCAUUUCUUACUUCAAAAAUGAUUUAUUUUUUUUUUCUCCUAGGCACACCAGACCGUGCCUGUUGCAAUGUGUUUGGUCUGGAAGCUGUGCAGAGCAGGGUCUGCCUCUCGCUGUGUGUGCAACACCCAGCACAACCGGGCCCUGGUCCCUGCCGAAGCCUCGAGGCACGACUGUAACACAAAUAAUAAAUAAUAAUAAUGUUAGCGAGAGAGCAUACAUAUUUAUAUGAAAAUGUACUGAUGCAAAUCACCUUUGAUUGACAGCUGUGCUCAGCACACACACGGUGAUGGGAUUACAUUAUAUCUGGCCAUAGCUUGAUACACACAAAGCACGGCUCAUAAAUUAAACUGGAGCUGAUCUCUGCCGAAGGCACCAGCAUCCUUACUCAUUGCACUCACAGGGUGUCACAGCAAGAGCUUCUCACUGACACAUGGCCCCGGAGCCACCCGGACUACAUGAAGAGCAUGUAGGAGGAGAGAUGGGACAGGAGCUCUCCUCUCCUGUGCAUCUGCAAGGCCUGGGAUUGCUCCUCCAUGUUCUGCCUGGGCCUAGCAUGCGGCACUGUGUGGAAGUCAGAAUCCCUUGUGUACUUCCAAGGAAAUCUGUGGGAGAGGGUGGAUGUGGACCCAGUGGCUUAAUCCCCUUCCCACCACUCUGUGGAGCUUGUGAGAGGAUGACGAGAGGACAGAGGCAUCUGAGCCUCGGACGGACAGCGUCCCUCCGCUGCCUGAAGCACCUCUGCCUCCGGGAAAGGAAGGGGAAUGAGGUCAAGUGACAAAGCAAAUGCACAGGCUGCCAUGAGUAAUUGGACGUGGGAGGGAUCCUGUCUGCCUGGGCGCGAGUCAGCUCUGACGUGAAGGCCUGAAAAGACACUUCGGAAAUGUCAGGGCCACAAGAGCCUCUUAGUGUGGCACUUGGCAGCACCAGCUCAACAACUGGAGGGGGCAUAAAAUUCCCCCACUCCCUUAGCAAAGAGGACGCUCCAACCAUCCCCCUCCCCUCCCUACUAUCCCUACCACCCACCAGAGACCAAAGCUGGCCCAGAUUCCCUCUUCUCCUAGCCACGAACCCACCACAGGGACAGGUCCUUGUCCUCUUAUGACUGAGGCUGCUCUCUCCAUUAUCUAUAUGAAGUGGAGAAGAUUGAACGUGGAGUGAUCUUUAGUUCCUCUCACUGCUCAGCCCUAUUGAGUUUUCCUCCGCUGUCAUCCUCUUACGUGACUGUGUCACGGUGGCCUCUGAGGCCUCUGAUAAACUUUGCUGAAGGAACUCCCAAUUCUCAUUCAUACAUAAAUGAGUAUUUAUACAAAUACAUAUAGACAUUGUACUCUCUCCUCUAAUAAAUUUUACUUUUGACAUUUGAGAAGUUAGCCUUUGCAGAGGGCCAAGUAUAUAUAUAUUAUUGCUUGGCACCAUCUUCCUCUGCUCAUACUGAGAGCAAUCAAACCAUGAUCACUGGUCCCUUUAGCUGCUCCCAGGGGCUUCCAGCUUCUCCUGCAACAGGUUUGAACAAGCAUCCUGUGAGUAUCACCUUUUAUUAACGCUAUCAGCCCUGUGAUCAUUUGGACAGGCACUUGCAAUUGCUUUUGUAUGUGCAUGUGCAGGUGCAGGGACACUUGCAAAUGCAAAAUCAACCCUUUCUGUAGCACUUUAGCACCUAUUUUUACUGUUAAUGUUGUCCAAAAGCUUAUGCAGGUGCAUACCUCUACUUUUCCCAGUGACAUUUCCGUGCACUGUUAUUAACUAGUCAUACACUAAUCAUCCUGUUAAGCAUGGAUCAUUGAAUAGUUCCUCGUGCCAAUUUGCAGUCCAGGAGCUUAUCAUUCUUUUAAGUUAUUUAUAAUUGUCCUGAAUGUUUCCCUCUCUUUAUUUAUGGUUCCUAGGCUCUUUCCUAUCAAGCCUGUGGGUAUCAGUGUAAUGAGUUCUUAAAUACAUUUGGUAAGUCUGUAGUUUUUGUUACUUUAUACUGAUUUCCACAUCUGUCCUUCUCAGCCUGAAUCCCUCUUUGACUUGAAACCCACCCUUCAGAGACAACCAGCAGCUUCCAGACCAGCCUUUCAUCAUUCGUUGUCCUUCCUAAUGAGAACGACAUUAGACUUUUACCUCAACCCGACUGCAAUGAUUUCACAGUAGAAAAUGAUCAUCUCCACACUUCAGAAGCACUGAUGAUGUUUGCUAUUGGCUGCAUAAAACCCCUAAAAUGCUUUCAAAUUAAAAUCCUUCCAUAAUAACUGUUUUUUUUUUUGUAUUUCCAUAUGCUACAGAGAGGAGCAGAAUCAUUAUUUUUCCAUCAGUUAAUUUAGAAGUGGCUGAAAGACCCCAACAGUAAUCCUCUGAAAGUUUCUGCAAGUAAACACGAGAAUUGGACUCUGCUCUGAAAAAUCAAGGGACUAAAAGACACAGUGGCAUCUUUUAUGCUGAGCAUCACCCCUGUGCCUUUACUCCAUUUUUCCUUAACCGUCUGUAACUAGACUGUUAAGCAUUUCAGCCAUGUGACUAAUCCCCGCAGGCUUCGCCAAUGGCAAUAAUAUCAAAUUUCUUCUCAUCAAUGGGAAUUUCCAUUUCCAGCUUGCUUGUUACCCCCAUGUCUAGGACUGCUGUAUAAGUAAUAGGAAAACCUCUUUUUCUUCACAACUUGAUCACAGCAGCUCAAUUUGUUUGCAACAUGCUGAGCUGGAGUUUGGAUUGCAUUUGCCUUCUUAGCACCUUCCCUUUGUGCCAUAACUCAAGCGACCGCCUGGCUGCUCCAGCUUGUUUCUGACAGAACGGAGUAGCUUUGAGAUGGAGGCCAUUUUGCUCAUCUGUGAUUGCAUAUAUAUAUAAAAGACUGAAAACGGCAUUACAAAACCUCCAGCAACUCGUCUACACGCUGCAGCCACUUAUUUUCCUGUGACACCAGAACACUUUUUCCUACUCACCAGCUGGUGAGAAGUGUCAAGCGACAACGCCAGCAGCUCGCACGAAGGAUUGCUGCCUUCAAACACCAAACUUCAUUGCUGUGAGUACAACCACGUCAUCCCUGCUGCUGCUGGUCCUUGAAUACACUCGUGCCUGGAGUGCCCCUUCGCCUCAUUUCAUUCCCUGGUAGCUGCUGGUAGGUGGGAGAAAGGGUGAGCAUCACCCUCCAAGUCGUCAGCGUCACAACAGAGGAACUGCCGAAUCAGAUGUCAUCUGGGAAAUUCUUCUUCAGCAGUAACACCUUUCGUGCCAAGGAAUCAUACAGACCGACUAGCACUCCUCCUCCGUGUUCACAGCCACUGUACCGAUCAAGCUGUUUGUCAUCUGUCAUGCUGACACCACGCUGGGACAGGAGUUCUGUCUCCCGAGCUGGUCAGAAAGUUACCGCGUCCCCUUUUCCUUUGGGGGAGGCUGAAAUAAUACAACAAAAUUCAAUGACCACAGGUGGGAGGGAGAAAGAGGCUUCUGGUGGUAGCCGUGGGCUACAAGUGGGUGAUUAUCAAAUGGAGACCAAUUAAUUUUAAAAAGCUCCAAUUUAAGAAAUCACUUGAACAUGUGGUUUUCUCUAAUAAUGUCUCUAAGAUGUUUCUUGUCUGGCAAAGGAUGUAAAUACAGGCAGCCUUAAGCAUGUGCUGAGGAACUCUGUGGCAGAGAUCUGAACUGCGUAAAAAAUGGUCGCCGAACUGUAGGGGAAAAUGACGAUAUAAAGCAUUUCUCCAGGGCUGCCUGGCACUAAUGACUUUAAUACAGCGAGUUGAACAAACUUAUGUGGCAGCAGUGACUGUGAAGGAGGACUUUUAACUUGCCUACAAUAACUACCUUGCGAGGAGCUGAGUGUUUCAGUCAGCGUGAUGAAUAGUGACUAGGAGCCUGUGGAAGGCCAGCAGGAGGAGGCAGUGUGGAAGGUAGAGCUGGAUGGGGCAGGGUGCAAGGCACGGCUGUAGGUGCUUAAUUCCUAAAGUUUGCAGCAAAAAGCUUGGCUGCACAGUGAAGGAUCUGCCAAACUGGGUCUUAGAAAAGCAGGAGAGAUACAGAUAAGAGCACAUACAUGAGUGCACACUUCCCAAAAAAUAUACAGGCUCGGGGAGGAGGCUGGCAAAGGACCAUGACUUCAGAUGAAUCCAUGGCAGAUCCAAGCCAUGCGGGAAGGUAAGAAAUAGUGCGACAAUAGAACAUGUGAGUCUGCUAACACUGCUUACACCACGGCUGUUCCUGUGCAUCAGCAGGCAGUGAUAGAAGACACAGGCAGAGUUACAGGAACCAGGACUUUGCAGAGCGGAUGGGGGGGCCAGCGCUGAAUGCUGAAGCUUGCUUGCUCUCUGUCUCUGCAUCCAUCCCCAGGCUGAUGUUCCAGCUCCGGUACGUCUCCUCCUGCAAUCAGUCUCAGUACUGUUCACCAGACUGAGCCAUACUUCCAAUUAUAUUUAUAGGCCUAUUAGUAAAACUUGUGAUCUAUUCAUAGACAAGCCAUGAACACAAGAAGAGAGUCAAACGCAGUCAAUAAAUUGCCUGCAAGAAGUAAACUGUGCCAUCAGCAAAAUUUUUGUAUCUGUGUUGUUCUCCUCUUUCUCUUAGAUCGUUAAUAAACAUAUUGAACACCCCUGGUCCUGAUGCUGAUCCCUGGAGCAUCUUGCUAUUAACCUCCUUUCAUGCAGAGAAUUGGACGCUUAUUCCUUUCCUUUGUUUCUUACCUCUUAUCUAGGUUUUAAUCCAUGUCAGGACUUUGCCUACCACCCUACGGGUAACAAAUUUCUUUAAUAGCUGCUUGUGAAAGACUGUAUCAGAAGCCUUUUGAAAAGUUUAAA
Non-coding RNA from Anas platyrhynchos (mallard), 12576 nucleotides. The record is from RefSeq and is a predicted model, not a curated record. NCBI's taxonomy places the organism in Eukaryota, Metazoa, Chordata, Aves, Anseriformes, Anatidae.